Molecule: unclassified non-coding RNA, 417 nt
Filed under: Hevea brasiliensis (rubber tree)
Lineage: Eukaryota; Viridiplantae; Streptophyta; Magnoliopsida; Malpighiales; Euphorbiaceae
Source: RNAcentral
AGAAUAUACAAGUUCUUUUACUUAUGAAGGUAUUUUUGAAGAAGAUCAAAUGCAAGAUGAAACAAAUAAGUAAAAAUUCAAUUAGACAUUUGAGCAUGAUCAAAUGCCAUGAUCAAAUGCAAGAUGGAGCGUGACCAGCUUCAAUUUCCCUUCAGAUGGCUACUUGAAUAUGUUGAUGAAAUCUAGAUUUCCUUCCUUGAGGACAAGGAAGUUCUUGAGCGGGAGGCAUUGGCACGAUGCGUUUCAAGUUCUUGAGAAGAUAGUUAUGCUGUUGGGUGUUCCGUUUCACAGGUGGGAAUCCAAAGGAGAAGUAGUUAUAGGUUAUUAGGGAUUGUACAUGUGUAAUUGUAAUCGGAGCUAUAAGAACUUGUAUUGGAGAAUCUGUAAUUCAUUUUGGAAAAUAUAUGAUGAAUAAUA